UUUCUUUGUUUGAAUGCCCAUAUCUGUUGCAUUUGAGCAAGUCCUUACUUCCUGCAGUCUUGGACUUUGCUAUUCUGCUGCUUUGCAGUGUUUUCCAUUGUGUUCCAGCUGGGAAUGUGUCAAAUAAAAUGUGAGGAUGAGAUGUAGAUGACACUGCUGUGCAUUUAUUUUAAACUGCUUAAAACUACUCAACUCAGUCAUAGUUAAUCACACAAUCCCUGGAUGACUGUGAGGGACCUCUGGAUGACAUCUAGUUUAAAAUCUCUGCUCAAGCAGGCCCAUCUGGACUCAUACCCAUGGGCUACAUCUCUGGUCCAGGGUCUGUUCCUGUGAAAGUCUCUCCAUGGGCUGUGGUCUCCUUCAGGCUACAUCCACCUGCUGCACUAUGGGCUCCACCACAGACUGCAUGUGGAGAUCUGCUCUGCAUGGUGCCCCAUAGGCUGCAGGAGGAAUUCUACUCUGUGCCUGCAGCAACUCCUGCCAUCCUUCUGGCCUGACCAUGGUGUCUGGGUUGCUGUUUGUCUCCACAGUUUCUCAUUCGUCUAUCCCAGCUGCUUUUGUACAGAAGUUAUUGCGGAGUUUUUUUUUAGUUGUUUAUCUCCUUUCACAGAGGCACAACUGGCAUUGUUCAUUGGCUCAGCUUUGGCCAGGGGUAGGUCCUUUUUGGAACCAGCUGGAAAGGAAUUUCUGAUAUGUGGCAGCUUCUGGGCUCUGCUAAUAGAAGCCAAGCCUGCAACUCUCAUACUAUCAAAAUAAUGCAAUUUAAACUCAGAACAUCUGAUUAAUCUGCCACUUCCUCCAGUUUUGUGUCAUCUGCAGACUUAAUGGGAGUAUGUUCAAUUCCAUUGUCCAGAUUAUUCAUGAAGGUGUUACACAGGACGGGAUUUAGUAUUGACCUGUAUGGAUACUCCACUAGUUAAUGAUCUCCAGUAAGAAUUUGCACAAACUACUAUCUUCUGGCCAUGUAGCCUGUUCUUGGUCCACCUGACUAUCUACACAUUCUAUCCGUUCUUCAAGUUUCUCUAUGAGGAUCUUAUGGAGGUCAGAGUCAAAAUAUUUAGUAAGAUAACAUUUCUUAAAAAUUAUCAGGUUGGCCAGGCAUGAGCAUCUUGCACUACGGCUUGUACUCCCUGCUAUGUGCUUCAGAUGAUAACAUUUGAAAUGAAAUGUAAAUAUGGCAAGCUCAAGUUAUAGCAAGUAAUUCACAUAUUUUGAUACAGUGGCUGAAUGCAGUCCUGUAAACAGUGAAAAAUAUGUAGUUCUGUUUUACACUUCGAUACAGGAAUUUGAGAAUAGAUUUCAAGAUGUCAAAAGAAAUUGUCACUUCUUUGUAUAUUUCAACUCCAUUUCAGUCAACAUAAAUACAUUA
Molecule: long non-coding RNA, 1369 nt
Organism: Tympanuchus pallidicinctus (lesser prairie-chicken)
Lineage: Eukaryota; Metazoa; Chordata; Aves; Galliformes; Phasianidae
Exons: 3
Source: RefSeq, a predicted model, not a curated record